Molecule: unclassified non-coding RNA, 266 nt
Filed under: Hevea brasiliensis (rubber tree)
Lineage: Eukaryota; Viridiplantae; Streptophyta; Magnoliopsida; Malpighiales; Euphorbiaceae
Source: RNAcentral
AAAUCCUGCAUAAAGCUGCGUGCCCAAUAUGCCACAUCAUGUGUACUGACAUAUCGGUAAUGCUUCUCAUGGCGCAACUGCUUCUCAGAUUCACGCAUGGUGAUGGCCAAAUUCAAGGCAUCAGCCACAGCUUCUAUGUCCCAUGGGUUUACCCUAAUUGCUCCACUCAAAGAAGGCGAACAACCAACAAACUCUGACACAACGAGCAUGCUUGUGCGAGGAGAAUCUGAUGUUAUACCCAUGGCUUUGUCCAUAUAUGGGGUUCC